This 253-nucleotide ribosomal RNA is filed under the name uncultured bacterium. RNAcentral's name for it is "partial 16S ribosomal RNA". It matches the Rfam family "Bacterial small subunit ribosomal RNA", at positions 524 to 776 of the family's 1533-position model. The record is from RNAcentral.
UACGAAGGGUGCUAGCGUUGUUCGGAAUCACUGGGCGUAAAGCGCACGUAGGCGGAUUGUUAAGUCGGGCGUGAAAUCCUGAGGCUCAACCUCAGAACUGCCUUCGAUACUGGCAAUCUCGAGUCCGGAAGAGGUUGGUGGAACAGCUAGUGUAGAGGUGAAAUUCGUAGAUAUUAGCUAGAACACCAGUGGCGAAGGCGGCCAACUGGUCCGGUACUGACGCUGAGGUGCGAAAGCGUGGGGAGCAAACAGG